Molecule: ribosomal RNA, 403 nt
Filed under: Fusobacteriota bacterium
Lineage: Bacteria; Fusobacteriati; Fusobacteriota
Description: Fusobacteria bacterium partial 16S ribosomal RNA
Rfam family: Bacterial small subunit ribosomal RNA
Source: RNAcentral
AGGGGAAUAUUGCACAAUGGAGGGAACUCUGAUGCAGCGACGCCGCGUGAACGAAGAAGGCUUUCGAGUCGUAAAGUUCUCCUAUAUGGGAAGAUAAUGACGGUACUAUAAGAAAAAGCCCCGGCUAACUACGUGCCAGCAGCCGCGGUAAUACGUAGGGGGCUAGCGUUGUCCGGAAUCACUGGGCGUAAAGGGUUCGCAGGCGGAAAUGCAAGUCAGGUGUAAAAGGCAGUAGCUUAACUACUGUAAGCAUUUGAAACUGCAUAUCUUGAGAAGAGUAGAGGUAAGUGGAAUUUUUAGUGUAGCGGUGAAAUGCAUAGAUAUUAAAAAGAAUACCGGUGGCGAGGGCGACUUACUGGGCUCAUUCUGACGCUAAGGAACGAAAGCGUGGGUAGCAAACAGG